RNAcentral lists this ribosomal RNA (274 nucleotides) under uncultured bacterium. RNAcentral's name for it is "partial 16S ribosomal RNA". It matches the Rfam family "Bacterial small subunit ribosomal RNA", at positions 523 to 796 of the family's 1533-position model. The record is from RNAcentral.
AUACGGAGGGUGCAAGCGUUAUCCGGAAUCAUUGGGUUUAAAGGGUCCGUAGGCGGGCUAAUAAGUCAGGGGUGAAAUCCCACAGCUUAACUGUGGAACUGCCCUUGAUACUGUUGGUCUUGAGUUACAGUGAAGUGGUUAGAAUGUGUAGUGUAGCGGUGAAAUGCAUAGAGAUUACACAGAAUACCGAUUGCGAAGGCAGAUCACUAACUGUAUACUGACGCUAAUGGACGAAAGCGUGGGGAGCGAACAGGAUUAGAAACCCCAGUAGUCC